This 6753-nucleotide long non-coding RNA is filed under the name Gossypium barbadense (sea-island cotton). RNAcentral's name for it is "long non-coding RNA (GBAR_LNC011934)". The record is from RNAcentral. Lineage: Eukaryota; Viridiplantae; Streptophyta; Magnoliopsida; Malvales; Malvaceae.
AUCUUCUACCACCUGCGAAAAAAAAACCAAAAUUAAAUCAUAUGAUCUGAAAUACAAAAAUAUAAAAAUAAAAAUAGAGAAAUCACUCACUUAUUUGAACAAGUUGAGUGGCAUUUUAAGUAUUCUCUAUUCUCUCAUGUCAGAAAUCAUACUAAUAUAGAAGUAUAGAAGUAUAAAAGAAAUAAAGAAAACAAGUCAAAAUAUUUAAAGAAUACCUUGAAAUUUUUUCUUCUUCUUCUUUCUCUUAUAAUUUGUUAAUUGCUUUUUUUUCUUUUUUUUUUCAGUUUGCUCUAGGCUGGUUUUUUUUUCCAUUUUAUGGGUAAAAGUUUUCUUUAGCUGUUAUAUAUAUAUACUCUAGGCUGGUUUUUUUUUUUUCCAUUUUAUGGGUAAAAGUUUUCUUUAGCUGUUAUAUAUAUAUAUAUAUAAACUGAUAUAUUUUUUUUAUUGUAGCUUCUUUGAAAACUUUAAAAAUUUGAAACUUUAAAAAAAAGUUAUUUUAUCAGAGACAAAUAUAUAUUUUAUGGGUUGGUGUUUUUUUUGGGGGGGUUUGGGGGGCGGAAUUUAAAAUUUUAUGGGAUUUAAUAUAAUAAAAUUUAUUUUUAAAGAGGUGCUCUGUAAAUUUCUACAAAGCUAAGGGGCAAUGACCUCCACCUGCCCCCUCUGCAUCCGCUAAUGCAUAUAUAUAUAUAUCUUAUGGACUAAAUGAGGAUUGAUAUACAAGAACUAUUUUCAUUUCAAUAAUUGUAUUGAGAGUUUAUUCCUAAACUAUAAUUUAUCCAAUUAAAUAAACCACUGUGCGAUUUAUCAUAUUCUUUGCAUUGCCUUUUUUUUUUUUUACCUCCCAUGCUUUUAUAUAUGAUAUGACAAAUUGAUGUGUUUCGGAUAUCAACCAUCAAAUUAAAAUGGAUAUAAUCAAAUUUGCUUUAACCAACCUAAUAAUAGAAUCAUAUAUUAAAUUUAUGUCCAACUUUGCAUAAUCUUGUAAUACCCUUGCAAUAGUAUAUGCAUACGACUACGAGUUGGUACAUCUACAAAUUUCUUACAUCUGUUUUAUAUGUAUGUAAGCUGCUCAGAUCUUCUAACUACAACUGUUGCCAAAUUUAAUACAUUGGCAAUGUAAAUGGUCUCAUUACAUUCCAAGACCUUUGUAAUCCAUUGGCUCUAAUGUUGCAGUCGUCAAUUCUUUCAAUUGUAAUCACUUUCGAUGAAAAAAGUUUAUUGAUUCGGAGCUUAUCUGUAACACCCCUUAACCCUAACCCGUCGCCGGAACAGAGUUACGAGGCAUUACCGAAAUUAAACGCUAAUAACGGACAACACCGAGGUAUAAAUCUAUUUUUCAAUUUAAAAUUUCUUAAAUUCCAUCUUUAAGUCCCUAAUAUGGACCUACGAGGCCCAAAAUAUACUUAGGAAGUGUUUUGGGAUUAAACCGGAAACUUUGGAAACUUUUCCUUGAGAAUAGGGGCACACGCCCGUGUGGCCUGGGACAUGCCCGUGUGCCCUGCCCGUGGGGCUCCCAUGGCGUGGGGCUAGCCCGUAGGCAGAUUUGACUUGCUCACAUGGCCGUGGGACUAACCUGUGGGCAAUUCUGACUUUACCACACGACCAGGGCAUACGCCCAUGUGACUUGGCCAUGUGAAAACAUGAUUUUUCACCAUUUUAAAGCUAUUUUCACAUAUCAAGCACACCUAAUUCAUGCCCAAUACAUUGACUUAUAAAUCUUGAUCAAAUAACAUUCAUCUAUUCAUUUCAAAUACUUCUUAAAAGUUACAAAUUACUUACACCCAAAACAUAAAUAUAUUAAAGUGACUAAAAUAAAACCUAAUACAUGCCACAUUUCCAAAAGAUAGAUUCAUCACCAGAAACUAAGCUGAGGUCGGGAUUGACUCGGAUGCAGCACCAAACUUCAACUUUACCUAGCCUACGCACGGAAACAAAUCGUACGCUGAGUAUUGGAAAUACUCAGUGGUAUUACCAUAAUUCAAAUUAAAGCAAAUAUAAAAUAUCAUAAACAUGCAUAGAUAAUUAACAAAUCAUACAUAUAAUUCAUACCAAGUUAUCAUAUUUCCAUUGUAUCAUUUUCAUUAUUUGAUUCAAUAAUUCAUCAAUAAGAUUACCAACUAUUCAUGAACCUUUGGUUCAUCUCUCAAUCACAUAUAAAUAUCCAAUUCACAUUCAUAUAUGAAUAAUUCAUGAAUCUUGGUUUUAUGCCUUCAAUCUCAUAGCACAAAUUGCAUUUCUCAAUUCAUCUUACAAUAUCACUUUCUCAUUUCAUUCAAUAAUUCAAUUUAUCAAUUUCAUUUGAUUUUUUUCUCUUCACAUAUAUUUCCCCUAUUAACAUCACUCGGACUUUGGAGGAUACACGGAUUCAACCAAACACACCAGAGUGGCGGUCAACACCUCAUCAGAUAGUUCGAAGCAAAUAAGUGACGACCAACGUCUCAUCGGCUAAGCCGAAGCAAAGUGGUGACCAACGCCUCAUCGAAUCUAUCCGAAGUAAAUAUGACACACCAAGUGUCUCAUCGACUCGAGGUCGAAGAAUCCCUGAAUUCUUCCUAUCCUAUGGCAUGCCAACUAUAUCCACCCUAGCCCGACUAGUUAAUAGGGUAUCGGAAUCAUUCGAAUUCAAAUCAAUCACAAUAACAAUUCAAUCACAAUUUCAAAUUCACCACAAAUCAUUAUACAAUUCAAUUUCACACAUGUAUACAUUCAUCAAUCAAAUCCAAUUCUCAUUCAAUUCAAACAUCACUACUUACCUCAAUUUCAUUUUUCGUGCACAUAUAUUGAAAUUAAACAUUUAAUAAUAAAUAACUUGAAUUAAGGUAAUACAAACCGAUAUUUUCUCAAGCUACUCCUCGAUCACUUUUUUCUUUCCCUUCGCAUUCAACGUCUCGGUUUCUAUGUUUGCUACGAAAAUUAGCAUAAUUAUAAUUAAUUAAUAACACACAUAUUUUAUAAAAAAAUAAUAACUUUCCAUGCAACUUUAACGUAAAUCCCAAAUUUGUCCUAACUAUUUUCAUCUUCUUCCCUUUUUAUAAUUCAUAUUAUUUCCUUAUUCAAUUUCCAUCAAAACUUUAAUAUAACCAUCAAAUUUUUAUCAUUUUUCCAUAAUUUUGAAUUUCUAUCAAUUUAGUCCCUACAACACAAAACUUAUGACCUUGUUUACAUUUCAAUCAUUUAAUCAAUUUAAAUCAAAAUUUCUAUCAAUUAAACUCCUAAUUUCAUCAUUAGUUCAACAUAAACCCUACUUAAGAGUCUAUCAUCUUUCAAUAUUUUCACACAAAUUCAAAAGUAUUCAACUUUAGAACUUCAAAAACAUCAAAAUCACUAAGAAAGGGACUUAACUGACUUAACCAAUUUAACUUUCAAACUUCAAACCCUAAUUUCUCCUUUUUCUUUUCUUUUCUUUUCUUCUUUCUUUCUUUCUAUUUCGUUUCUUCUCUGUUUCUUUUUCUUGUUUUUCUUUCUUUUAUUUAUUCUUUAUUUCAUUUUAUUUCUUUCAUUUACCAAAUUAAUAAUUAAUUAUAAAAUAUCUAAUUAAUACAAAUAAAAAAUACUACAUGUGUAUUCAUACACACAUGUGCACAUGUAAUAUUUCUUCACCAUACAUUUGUCAUUAUCUCAAUUAAUUGAUAAAAUAUAAUAAUAAUAAUAAAAUAAUAAUAAUAAGUAAAUAUCUUUUACUUAAUUUAUAAGUAAAUUUAUAUAUUAUAUACAUUUGUACUAAUAAUUUAAAUACACAUGUAUUUAUUUUCUAACUUACACAUGUCACUAAUUUAGUUUAAUUACUAAUUUAAUCCUUUAUCCUUUCUCUAUUCUAUUAUUAAGCUUUUAUGCUCUAUUCAAAUUUAUCAUUUCUACUAAUUACUUCUAAUUAAAAAUAAAUUCACCUAAUUAAAAUUUAAUUCAACUCACAACUAACUUCGUAAAUUUUUUUUAUAAAUAUUUACGAACUCAUUUUCCUAAGACGGAAGCCCUAAACUCACUUUUCUGGUGCCCGUGAAAUAUGGGUCGUUACAUUAUCAUUGUCUCCAAUUGAAAAAAAAUUCAAAUCAAUUACAUUUCAUAAAUAUAUUUGUAAAAUUCAUUCUCAUUAAUGUUGAAAGGUUCAGGUUUAGUAAUAAUUUAUCAAUUGAUAUAUAAAAAGAUUACGACUCAUUAGGAUAAUAACUGUUUGAUUGCCUUUCAGCUCGAUAUCAUUGUCAUAUUAAACUUUAAUAUUGACUUCAAAUUUAAUUUGGGCUUCAAUUUCAACUUUAGUGAAAUUAAUGGUGAUGCUAUGGUGCUAAGAUCACCUCAAAUGAAAACAGUUUGGUUUAUCUUUUAAUUGCAUUUAUCGGAGAUUGUCUACUUCUAUAAGAUACACACAUUGCGAAAUGAUAAGCUCUAAUCGGUCAACUUCUCCCAACUAUGAUAUAGCCAUUUUUUUUUAUGCAACUCAUGAAUACUAUGCAUAGUAGACUUCUGGUAUUAAACUUGAAAAACGUACUGAUUGAGAGAAUUUUCAGAUGAUAUGUUGACACUGAGAUAGUCGAUGCAUUUGCAAAAUUCUAUAUUCCAUAACCGCUAUUAGGAAUAUCUUUGAGUUGCAUUAUAAUAUUCCCAAUUUCUUAUGGUCCAAACAUAAUCAUCUCAACAUCUUCAGUGUCAUUGAGAUUCAAUGCAUAAUACUUACAUCUUUUUUACUAGACUUCGAAAUUCUAUAUUUCAAGUUACAUAUCCACUUAGUACCUCCAACUUGGAUUUUCUUAAGAAUCUUCCUUUUCAUAUUUUCUAAUGUAACAUCAUUCAUUAACAUCAUGUUACAAAGAAUUUCUAAUUGAAAUAUGGCUCAUCCUAAGUCGAAAUAAUAUAUCCUUUCAAGGGUUAUAUAUCAAUCCGCUAUUUUUUUAAUUAAGACAGUCAAAUAUUAAAUUUAUAAUAUUAUAAAUAAUGCUAACAAUUUCAACAAUUCUUAAUAACAACAUUAACACUACUUUACUACAAUAGCAAGCAAAAACAAUACAAUAACUUCCUUAUAACAUAUGUUUAACAUAUUCAACUGUUGGUUACAAUAAUAACAACAUAACAUUGGCUGAAUAAACACUUACAAAUUUAAUAUCUACAAUUGGUAAAUACAAUAAUAACUUCACAUUAGAUAAAAUACUUAUGACAACUUUUAUAACACUAAUAACAAAAAAAUGUCGAAAAAAUGUACAUGAUAAAUGACUUUUAGUAAAAUUUGAAAUUAAUCAUGAUGAUUUAGGUUUGUAGAUUUUAAGAGUAUUUUUGUUUUUUGAGUUUUGCAAAAUUAAUUUUUGGAGAGAAAGUAAACAGUCAAGUUUAAAUAGUAUGACCUUUGACAACACUUGUAAGUAUUGAUGUUAAUGUUUAAAAAAAAAAAAAAGUCUAAUCUCGACAUAUGAGUGACAAGGUCACACUACAUCAAACCAAAUUUUGAACAACUAAGUAUAAGAUUUUUGAGAGAAUCUUGGAAAAUAUUCACACUAAGUUUAAUAUCCGAGGGUGUUAAACGUCAGAGUAUGAUCAUUUCAUCAUCACUUCACGAACAAGUUAUCGUAAAACAGUUUGUGCAAUAACUCUUGAAAACAAUAAAAUAACUCGACAAUUUGAUAAAAAAUGGUAGAAUAAAUUGUUGGUUACUCAACUUUAGAGGUGAUCAUGGGCCGGGCCGGGUUUGGGCCGAGCCCAGGAAAAAAUUCAAGCCCAAAAUAUGGGCCUAAAUUUUUGUCCAAGCCCGACCCCACGGAAAAGUGUGAAGCCCGGGCCCUGCCCGGCCUGCCCAUAUUAAUUUUUUUUUAGCUUAAGACCAUGAAAUAAUGACAAAAAAAUAAUAAAGGGAAAAAUAAAAACAAAGCUUGAUUUAAAAUAAAUAAUCCUACAAAUAAUUGUUUUAUUUUUAUUUUAAAUUUGAAUUUAAAAUAAAUGUUUCAAACGAAGACAAUUUAAUUUAAAGUUUUUUAUUUAAAUAUAAAUUAAAGUUUACUAACUUAUUUAGUUCCAAAUUAAAAUUUUAUGUUCUGGAAUUUUAUUUAAAAGAAUUUUGAAUGUAUAUUUAAAAAUUAAAAUACUAUUGAAAUAAAUUAUAAAGCUUAAAAAAUUGUAAACACAGAAACAGAACAGAAGCAUGCAUGAUGUACCGACAGGAGUCAAUUAGUCCACAAUCCACAAGCAUUAUUAUUAAAAUAAUAAGUAUCAUUACAUUGGUUUUGAGUUUGACCAGUUAUUGAUUAUUGUAAUCCGACAAGAGUCAAUUAGUCCACAAUCCAUAUGCAUUAUUAUUAAAAUAAUAAGUAUCAUUACAUUGGUUUUGAGUUUGAAUUGUUUAUAAACUCAAUGAAACCUAGUAAAGCACUCGUGUGUAUAAAGCUGUCUGUAUAUUAAAAGCUCAUGGCUUCGAACUCAGACAAUGGGAACUAAAGUAUAUAUGCAUUUGUACAUAGUAAUGAAAUAAUAAACUUGCAAGAAGAAGAUGCAGCAAUGAAUAAGAAGAAGAAGAAUAAGAAGAAGAAGCUUACUGUAAAGAAGAGGCUACCGAGACUGCAAAUGAAUAAGCAAAAAUGAAGAAGCUGAGCUAAGCUUGAGGCUAGCUGGAGGUGGCCGACAGACAACUGGGAUUUGGGUGGAUCAGUGGAGGUGGAUCGGUGGAGGUGGUGGUGAGGUGAGCUAGGGAUUUGGGUUUUGGAAAUGGGAAAAAGGGAAAAAGGGCAGGAAGGCAGCAGCACGAAAUGAUAAAAUGAAAGUGGGAAAAAAAAG